UACGUAGGGGGCGAGCGUUGUCCGGAUUUAUUGGGCGUAAAGAGCGUGUAGGCGGCUUGUUAAGUCUGAUGUGAAAUGUCGCGGCUUAACCGCGAAACUGCAUUGGAAACUGGCAAGCUAGAGUCUGGAUGAGGAAGAUGGAAUUCCUGGUGUAGCGGUGAAAUGCGCAGAUAUCAGGAGGAACACCGGUGGCGAAGGCGGUCUUCUAGGACAGUACUGACGCUGAGACGCGAAAGCGUGGGGAGCAAACAGG
Molecule: ribosomal RNA, 253 nt
Filed under: uncultured bacterium
Lineage: Bacteria
Description: partial 16S ribosomal RNA
Rfam family: Bacterial small subunit ribosomal RNA
Source: RNAcentral